GUGACCUGCGGAGGAUCAUUACCGAGUUUCAUGCCCUUACGGGUAGAUCUCCCACCCUUUGUAUACUAUACCUUUGUUGCUUUGGCGGGCCGCCUAGCUACUGGCUUCGGCUGGUAAGUGCCCGCCAGAGGACCCAAAACCCUGAAUUAUUAGUGUCGUCUGAGUAAAAAAGUUAAUAUUUAAAACUUUCAACAACGGAUCUCUUGGCUCUGGCAUCGAUGAAGAACGCAGCGAAAUGCGAUAAGUAAUGUGAAUUGCAGAAUUCAGUGAAUCAUCGAAUCUUUGAACGCACAUUGCGCCCCUUGGUAUUCCGAGGGGCAUGCCUAUUCGAGCGUCAUUAUCACCCCUCAAGCCUAGCUUGGUGUUGGGGCUUGCUGUAAAGGCAGCCUCUAAAAUCAGUGGCAGUGCUGUCAGGCUCUAAGCGUAGUAAAUUCAUCGCUAUAGGGUCCUGGUGGAUACUCGUCAAAACCCCCCAUUUUUAAUGAUUGACCUCGGAUUAGGUAGGGAUACCCGCUGAACUUAAGCAUAUCAAUAAGCGGAGGAAAAGAAACCAACAGGGAUUGCCUCAGUAACGGCGAGUGAAGCGGCAAAAGCUCAAAUUUGAAAUCUGGCUCUUUUAGGGUCCGAGUUGUAU
RNAcentral lists this ribosomal RNA (634 nucleotides) under uncultured Tetracladium. RNAcentral describes it as "eukaryotic LSU rRNA". The stretch from base 184 to 337 matches the Rfam family "5.8S ribosomal RNA". The record is from RNAcentral. Lineage: Eukaryota; Fungi; Ascomycota.